AGUGAACGCUGGCGGUAGGCCUAACACAUGCAAGUCGAACGGCAGCACAGUAAGAGCUUGCUCUUACGGGUGGCGAGUGGCGGACGGGUGAGGAAUACAUCGGAAUCUACUUUUUCGUGGGGGAUAACGUAGGGAAACUUACGCUAAUACCGCAUACGACCUACGGGUGAAAGCAGGGGAUCUUCGGACCUUGCGCGAUUGAAUGAGCCGAUGUCGGAUUAGCUAGUUGGCGGGGUAAAGGCCCACCAAGGCGAAGAUCCGUAGCUGGUCUGAGGGCAUGGUCAGGUACACUGGAACUGAGACACGGUCCCGACACCUAGGGGAGGCAGCAGUGGGGAAUAUUGGACAAUGGGGGAAAGCCUGAUCCAGCCAUACCGCGUGGGUGAAGAAGGCCUUCGGGUUGUAAAGCCCUUUUGUUGGGAAAGAAAAGCAGCAGUUUAAUACCCCGCUGUUCUGACGGUACCCAAAGAAUAAGCACCGGCUAACUUCGUG
RNAcentral lists this ribosomal RNA (492 nucleotides) under uncultured bacterium. Its description in RNAcentral is "partial 16S ribosomal RNA". It matches the Rfam family "Bacterial small subunit ribosomal RNA", at positions 29 to 507 of the family's 1533-position model. The record is from RNAcentral.